RNAcentral lists this ribosomal RNA (797 nucleotides) under marine sponge bacterium PLATEcassta+(2)-26. RNAcentral describes it as "partial 16S ribosomal RNA". It matches the Rfam family "Bacterial small subunit ribosomal RNA", at positions 56 to 903 of the family's 1533-position model. The record is from RNAcentral.
UGCAGUCGAGCGCACCUUCNGGUGAGCGGCGGACGGGUUAGUAACGCGUGGGAAUGUACCCUUCUCUACGGAAUANCCAUUGGAAACGAUGAGUAAUACCGUAUACGCCCUUCGGGGGAAAGAUUUAUCGGAGAAGGAUCANCCCGCGUUAGAUUANAUAGUUGGUGGGGUAAUGGCCUACCAAGUCUACGAUCUAUAGCUGGUUUUAGAGGAUGAUCANCAACACUGGGACUGAGACACGGCCCANACUCCUACGGGAGGCAGCAGUGGGGAAUCUUANACAAUGGGNGAAAGCCUGAUCUANCCAUGCCGCGUGAGUGAUGAAGGCCUUANGGUCGUAAAGCUCUUUCNCCAGGGAUGAUAAUGACAGUACCUGGUAAAGAAACCCCGGCUAACUCCGUGCCAGCAGCCGCGGUAAUACGGAGGGGGUUAGCGUUGUUCGGAAUUACUGGGCGUAAAGCGCACGUAGGCGGAUUAGAAAGUAUGGGGUGAAAUCCCAGGGCUCAACCCUGGAACUGCCUCAUAAACUCCUAGUCUAGAGUUCGAGAGAGGUGAGUGGAAUUCCNAGUGUAGAGGUGAAAUUCGUAGAUAUUCNGAGGAACACCANUGGCGAAGGCGGCUCACUGGCUCGAUACUGACGCUGAGGUGCGAAAGUGUGGGGAGCAAACAGGAUUANAUACCCUGGUAGUCCACACCGNAAACGAUGAAUGCCAGUCGUCGGGUAGUAUACUAUUCNGUGACACACCUAACGGAUUAAGCAUUCCGCCUGGGGAGUACGGUCGCAAGAUUAAAACUCA